This is a long non-coding RNA of Canis lupus familiaris (dog), 493 nucleotides long. RefSeq lists it as uncharacterized. NCBI's taxonomy places the organism in Eukaryota, Metazoa, Chordata, Mammalia, Carnivora, Canidae. The record is from RefSeq and is a predicted model, not a curated record. The transcript has 3 exons.
CAAAUACCCACCAUUUACUUCGACGUGGAUGGAACUGGAGGGUAUUAUGCUGAGUGAAGGCUCGAACUCAACCUUGAGGACAAGAGUUGAGCUCUCUACUGACUAAGCAGGGCAGAUGCCCCUGGAAUCUCAUCCUUAAGACACAUGCAUAGACUCAGAUAGAAUCAGACAGCUCAAAGAAACUCAGAUAGACUUUCUGGAGCCAAUAAAGCCCCUUGGAAAAUGUUGGCCUGAUACCUUCCUUACAGCUCCCCACAGCUUUACCAGGGAUGACAUCAGUGACCAUGUCUGUCUACCUGGAGAGGAAGAAAAUAUUCCUGCUGAACCCUGGUUUUCCACACUGUGGACAACAGGACCCCCUCCAACCUGACCCAGGAACUCCCUUACUCUGAGCCAAGGACAGGGGGUCUUGUUUUGUUUUUAGGUUGUGGUUAAAUAUAGACAUCACCUACAAUGGAGCAUUUUAGCCUUUUCUAAGCCUAGAGUUCAGCAG